UACAGAGGGUGCGAGCGUUAAUCGGAAUUACUGGGCGUAAAGGGUGCGUAGGUGGUUUGUUAAGUUAGAUGUGAAAUUCCUGGGCUUAACCUGGGGACUGCGUCUGAUACUGAUAAGCUAGAGUUCUGUAGAGGAAAGUGGAAUUUCCGGUGUAGCAGUGAAAUGCGUAGAUAUCGGAAGGAACAUCAGUGGCGAAGGCGACUUUCUGGACAGAAACUGACACUGAGGCACGAAAGCGUGGGGAGCAAACAGG
This 253-nucleotide ribosomal RNA is filed under the name uncultured bacterium. RNAcentral describes it as "partial 16S ribosomal RNA". It matches the Rfam family "Bacterial small subunit ribosomal RNA", at positions 524 to 776 of the family's 1533-position model. The record is from RNAcentral.